AACGAACGCUGGCGGCAGGCUUAACACAUGCAAGUCGAACGGACGUAGCAAUACGUUAGUGGCGCACGGGAGAGUAACACGUGGGAACCUACCUUUUAGUUCGGGAUAACGUCGGGAAACUGACGCUAAUACCGGAUACGCCCCAAGGGGGAAAGAUUUAUCGCUAAAAGAUGGGCCCGCGCUAGAUUAGCUUGUUGGUGAGGUAAUGGCUCACCAAGGCUACGAUCUAUAGCUGGUCUGAGAGGAUGACCAGCCUCACUGGGACUGAGACACGGCCCAGACUCCUACGGGAGGCAGCAGUGGGGAAUAUUGGACAAUGGGGGUAACCCUGAUCCAGCCAUGCCGCGUGAAUGAUGAAGGCCUUCGGGUUGUAAAGUUCUUUUGGAGGGGACGAUGAUGACGGUACCCUCAGAAUAAGCUCCGGCUAACUUCGUGCCAGCCGCCGCCGUAA
This 451-nucleotide ribosomal RNA is filed under the name uncultured bacterium. Its description in RNAcentral is "partial 16S ribosomal RNA". It matches the Rfam family "Bacterial small subunit ribosomal RNA", at positions 29 to 523 of the family's 1533-position model. The record is from RNAcentral.